RNAcentral lists this ribosomal RNA (440 nucleotides) under uncultured bacterium. RNAcentral's name for it is "partial 16S ribosomal RNA". It matches the Rfam family "Bacterial small subunit ribosomal RNA", at positions 338 to 795 of the family's 1533-position model. The record is from RNAcentral.
CCUACGGGAGGCUGCAGUGGGGAAUAUUGCACAAUGGGGGAAACCCUGAUGCAGCGACGCCGCGUGAGUGAAGAAGGAUUUCGGUAUGUAAAGCUCUAUCAGCAGGGAAGAAAAUGACGGUACCUGAGUAAGAAGCCCCGGCUAACGACGUGCCAGCAGCCGCGGUAAUACGUAGGGGGCAAGCGUUAUCCGGAUUUACUGGGUGGAAAGGGAGCGUAGACGGCAGCACAAGUCUGGAGUGAAAUGCCGGGGCUUAACCCCGGAACUGCUUUUGAAACUGUGCAGCUAGAGUGCAGGAGAGGUAAGUGGCAUUCCUCGUGUAGCGGUGAACUGCGUAGAUAUUAGGAGGAACACCAGUGGCGACGGCGGCUUACUGGACUGUAACUGCCGUUGAGGCUCGAACGCGUGGGGAGCAAACAGGAUUAGAUACCCGGGUAGUC